GGCCAUUUAAUUAACACCUUCCUAGGACAGAAGAGCUGACUAGUCCCGAAGCCUUUGGCCAGAAGAGACCGAGCGAUUUACAAGGUUCAGGCUUUUAGACGCCUGCAGAAACCAGCCUUUUCCCAUGGCAUUCCAUCAGAUCUGCAAGUAAGGGCAGCUUCUGCGAUGACUUCACUUCUCUGCAUUGCAACACUGCACUGAACUGUGGCCAACUGCUGGAGUUUGCUCAUUUGUGUGUUUCCACUGGAGACCUGCUGAUUCAAUCAUUUUAAAGCUGCCCAUUUCUUCCACGUCAGAGAUUUUAUAGCUCUAAGGAUUAGCAGCUUUUAUCCCAACAAACCCCGAAGCUCUAUAUAUUCUGAUUUUUAUGUUGUGGAGCAACCCCAUUGACUUCUAUGAGACUACUUGGAAUCAAGCAGAGUGCCAACUGAGAAAGGGCUCUCCAUUGGCCAGUCAGGUCUGGAGGCUACUUGCCAUCUUACAGGAAAGGCUUUCGGAAGAGGAGAAGGAUCGACUCAUGCAAUCCGGCGAGGGCAGGUUAGCUGCAGGGAACUCAGUUGCCGACCAGCCAGAAUUUUAUCAGCCCAGCCGGAAUUGUGUUUGCCUGUACUGUUGCCAGAAGAGUGAGAGACUUGGAAGCGAGAGAGGGAAAUUUGACUUUGAGUUGCUAUUCCCCCACUUUAAGGUUUUUAAGACAAAAGAUUUCACCCUAUUGGCACUCUAUUGCCAACUGACCACAAAUAUUGUUGUUGCCUGUAUUAUGUAUGUGUUGUCCUUCUGCAUUCAAAGCAGCUGCUCUACCCAUCCAGCUGUGGCUCCUGCCACCCUCACAGCAAUCUCUGGCCAUAAAAUGGGCCUGUCAUUCUCCUCCAGCAAUAGGCAUUGUGUGGGGGAGUGUGACUGCAGCUUUCUCCCGAUUGAAGUGCAGAGUGUCUGAGGACUGGGACAUUCGCAGGGAAACAAAAAUGCUUGUUAACAAAGCUAUUGUACUACCAACCUUCCUGUAAUCUUGUGAAACAUGGACCACUUAUAAACGCCAUCUCCAACUCCUCGAAAGAUUCCAUCAACGGUGUCUCCAAAAAAAAUUUACACAUCAUUUCGGAAGACAGGCGAACUAAUGCCAAUGUACUGGAAGAAGCAAAGAUCACAAGUGUCGAAGCAAUGAUUCUUCAACAUCAACUUUGUUGGAUGGGUCAUGUUGAUCGGAUGCCUGAUUAUAGUCUUCCAAAGCAACUACUCUAUUCCAAACUUUAAAAUGGAAAGCGCAAUGCUGGUGGUCAACAGAAGAGGUUUAAAGACUCUCUCUCAAGGCAAAUCUUUAAAAAUGUAGUAUGAACACCAACAACUGAGAAACACUGGCCUGCGAGUGCUCCAAUUGGAGAACAGCCUUUUCCAAAGGUGUCAUGGGCUUUGAAGACACUUGAACUCAGGAUUGAAAGGGAGAAACAUGCUAAGAGAAAGGCAUGCUUGGCAAACCCUCACCAUGAUCAACUCCCACCUGGAAACCUCUGUCCCCACUGUGGAAGGACGUGUGGAUCCAGAAUUGGCCUCCACAGUCACUAACGGACUCACUGUUAAGACCAUGUUUAUGGAAGACACUCUUACUGGGCUACAAGUGAUCGCCAAAGAAAGAAGGAUUCAUCCAACCUGGAAUCCUGUUUUCAACCACUGACAGUCAGAUGUUUCCAGGAAACCCACAAGCAGGACAUGACAUUAACAGUUAUUCUUUUGAAAUCAGUCCACCAGGAGAGCUACACUUGUUCAGAGGUAAACUUCUUCUGGCUGUGGAGGUUCAAUUUUACUAGCCUGGCUAAUUGCCAUGAUUCAGACUUGGAUGCUGUAGACUUGCUGGCAUUCCUUUGUUGCUUUGAUGAGUGCCAACUAUGAAAUCUCUUAAGCUGUCAACUGUCCAAUACUACCAUUGCAUGUCAUCUAUCAAAUACACCCAGCUACUCGUAAUUACCAUUGCAUGCCAAGUAUCAAACACUAGCAGAUGCCAAACACCAUUGCAUGCCAGCUCUCAAAUGCUGACACCCACCAAAUACUACUGAAUGCCAACUCUAAAAUAUUGUCACAUGCGAAACAUUACAACCGAGCAUCAAAGUCAAAUCAAAUCAUUUGAAUCAAAUAUUGCCGGAAAUUGCAGAGCUAUCCAUUAGUUGGCAAAUGCUCGGGCAAGAUCUGAAGGACUAUUCAGAGAACAUCUUGUGAAGUGUACAAUCAAAAUUCACAGAGGACAUUUUGGGGACUGAAGUUAGUUGUUUAAGCUCUAGCUUGGAAUCCGUUCUGAGCACAGCUUUCUAGCAAGGCAUUUUUAAAAAAAAAAAAACUAGCAGCCUUCUGCAAGCAAGGAAAAAUUGUUUUUCCUCUUUCCAAAGAACAAGCCUGGUGCACAGCAUUCUGGGUAACCAUAUGCAACCUCCCUUGACACCAAUCAGUAAGCAAAAUCAUUAGCGCAGCCAAAGUGUUGAAAGGGACAGGAGAGGUUUGCAUUCCAUCCACUGCACUUGUGGCCACAUUUACAUGCCAUAAUGGCCUAUUUGGGUCUCAUAAGGCCGGUGCAGCUGUUACUUCUGCUUGGGCAGCAGUAGCCUAAAGGAGGGAAAGAUGCUUGGGUUUGGCUAUUGCUGCUGCUUCAGCAGCCUGAUUUAUAGGCUCUGUUCCAUUCAUUCGCUUGCUUUAAAGCCAAGGUCGUUUCGAAAACCAUGCGUUCCCAUGCAGGAAAUGGAGGCAUCUUAUCUACAUAGCCUGGGUUACUGGGUUCCUCUUUGCUAAGCUGUUCAGCAGAUUACUGCAUUAUGAUAAAGCUGGAAGUGAAUUCAGGGCCGGCCCUAUCAUUGGACAGAGUGAAGUAGCCAUCUUAGGUGGAAUGCUGCUGCAGCCCCUGAUGAUUCCCUCUGAUGGGGGCACUGCUUGCUGAAUGCUUCACCUAGUCAUCUUCUCCCAGUGCAUUACAGAUGACAGUGCUAAGGGAAGGGUUCCUUGUGGGAUGUGAUCCAUGAGAGGCCGUCAAGUACAACAUUCCUUGUAAUGCUAGAGAAGACAUGCGAGGGAAUGUUUGGUCCAGCCAGUCAAAACUUCCUGUUCCUCCUGGCUGGAGCAUCCUUCCUUUGCAUGUGACUAAAGGUGGGUGUGACCUAACCUGUCCAGGUAACCAAAGGACGAGUCAUGCAGCACACCUUCCUCUUUUUUACUUCCUUCUUCAUUUGACCAGCUUCUAGCUAGGACUGCUCUGCUAGCUCUCAGCUAGCAGAAGCACUGGGAUUAUUCCCCCAUAUGGGGUAGAUGCACAUGUACAUAUUUGUAACUAAGUCUGCCUUCAGGAAUCCAACUGUGAACUGAUGUGAGUAAACUUCCUUUAUUGACUUGAAAUAAGAUUGUCGUGUCUUUAUUCUUCUAAGAGGGGUUAAAGGGAAUUUUCCAGGAACAUACAAUUC
Molecule: long non-coding RNA, 3437 nt
Organism: Podarcis muralis (Common wall lizard)
Lineage: Eukaryota; Metazoa; Chordata; Lepidosauria; Squamata; Lacertidae
Source: Ensembl